AGCUUUGUUAGCAGAGGGACGCUAGACGCAAUGACACCCAAGAAGCAAUGAGCACGCCUAGUGUCCUGAUCUUUGUUUCUAAACACUCACAGGAAUCCAACCUCCUUGAAGAAAUGGCUAAUUUCAAGUCUGGGGAAGGAAAAGAACACAUUGUAGGUCCUUCUGGUUAUGCCAUGUGGGAUGCCGCCUCAGCGUAGCUGGACGAGCAGUGCCGUGUCCACGCCCAGGAUCUGAACCGGUGAAACCCUGGGCCGCCAAGGGGGAGCACAAGAACAUAACCACUCCACGACGGAGCCGAUCCCAGGAACUUCUCUUUAAAGCACAGGCAUUUAUGAUGCUCACAUUAAGUUUUAGGCUAAAUAAAAUAUUUGUUCUCUGCAAA
Molecule: long non-coding RNA, 382 nt
Filed under: Equus caballus (horse)
Lineage: Eukaryota; Metazoa; Chordata; Mammalia; Perissodactyla; Equidae
Description: lncRNA (ENSECAG00000059646.1)
Source: RNAcentral